ACCACACAUCCCCUUUCCUCACUCUCCGCAUACAGUGUCUGCGCGAGACGAGCGGCCGACGCACGCGCCGUCGCCUCGCCUCCUUCCAGAUCCGCGGCGAGCCGGGAACGAGGAAAACGGAAGGAUGGGAUCAAAAUUUAAUGCAUUGUGGAAAAAUGAGUUACUUGCCCUGGGCAAAGAUGAUAAAGAUAAAGCAAUCACAGUAAGAAAUGAUUAUCCGAAGCCCCCUAUCCCUUGUUUUGAAGUUACUGAGGGUUUUGAUUUGGAAAAGGUUGAGGAGCUUAUGCUAGAAAGGGAGAUUAAGAUCGCCAAGUCCAUGGCAAAUGACAUAAUCAUCCCAGACCCUGCUCCCAAGUUUGUGGGUGAUGCCUUCUUGGACAUAUAUGCCAAAUUGGAGCACAUCCUUGUAAAGGAUAGUGUCCGGUGCUUCCUCCGAUUUUUCGAGAACUGUGAAGGCCAGGGCAUGUCAUCUUAUCUUACCAUCACCGCACAAACCUUAACCUUCAUUGUCGGUUUCAAUGCCCUGCGAUGUGCAAAAGUCGUAUUGGAGGGCAUGGCACCUGAGCUCUAUGGGAUGCACGCCAAUCCCAACUGCAUAAACAAAUAUGGAUACUUCGUGCUCCAUGAAGCUGCUGAAAGGUUCUCUGUUGACAUGAUCAAGCUGCUUUUACGCCAUGGUGCAUCAGCCAAUGUGCGCACAGUUGGCAAUGAUGUCAUUGAGAAUCUACUCCCGCUCCAUGUCGCAGUUGAGAAUACUUGCCUGCAUAAGUAUCUGGAGGACAAUCUGGAGGACAAUCCUUCUCGCAGCCAGAAUCAUGAGGAUUAUGUCUACAAGCUUAUUCAUCUGCUGUGUCUACCUGAAAUGAAGAUCUUCUUGGACACAAUUAGACUGCUUGCAGAGAAAACAAAUAAUCUACUCGAAGAGCUCUGGAAUUAUAUUGAGGAUGGAAAAAUUAUCCAGUCUGCUGUUCUACUACUGGCUGCUCAAGAGCAGAUCCGUGGGGUUAGUUCUUCCAAGAUAAAUGGCAGUAGUAAGAAAAAUGGGUUUGAAAUCAUCGAGAAGUGUAUAACGAGGCAUUCAUAUGCCUUGAGAAACGAGAAAGGUUCACUUGGAAUGGCACAGGAGCUUCUGGAGGAAAGGAAGACGCUUAACGAUUGUGCAUGGCUGCUUGUUGAUGUAAUUUCCCAUGCCGGUGAAGAUCUUUCUGCAUACAUUCAAGCGCAUUCUGUGGUGUCCCAUGUGGAGGUCUUUCAACAUGUUUCAUCUAUUCUCAAGGAGUGUGGAUUUUGCCCUACUGGAGAUCUUAUGGACACUAUAAACCUCCAGCCUUAUGACUGCAGAAAGUCAAACGGAGAGUCAUGCAAAGGGCUUACAGAUGCAAACAUGGCAGUUAUGGAAUCAGCCAAGCUGAAUGCUGCAGAGAAGAAGGUCACAACUGUUGGAAAUGACGGCCUCUCCCUUAUGGCACAACAGCACACUACACAAACACAGGCUGUGAGAAAGAAAGUAGGCGGAGGAUGGGAUCCCAAGUAUACAAAGAGAAGCUUUUUCCCAUAUUGGAGAUCAGUGUUACAAGCUGGGGUUCCUUUGAAGGUGUAUCCAGCCCAUGCAAGCUCAGAUCCUAGGUCUCGUGUUAACCAUGGACAACUCCAUGUCUCUCUGAGUAACUCAAUAGCCAAUGGAUCUACAACAACUCCAAAUCAUAAACUUGGUCGAACCUCGCCACUUACAAGCAAUAAUCAACCCAGAAGGUGCUUUGUCACUGCUGCUACUGGUGCAUUCAGGCUCUUGAAGGUGCUAAAGUAGAGUAGAAAGGAGGCUCAACUGAUGCCUGACUGAGUUAAUUGCACAGAAGUACCACAAUUCGGGCAUCACAUGCAGAUUGGUACCAUGAUUGCUAAUUUUUGCGUGUCAGUACCAACAUUGGUCUAAGUUUUUGCAAAUUAGGCUAAAACGUGUAUUUGUACGUAUUGACGGUGUAUCUGACCGAUGGGGCCCGCCGGUCAGGUGCUGAUGUGGCAUGUUUUUUUUUAGAAAACCCCCUUAUGUUAUAUGUAAUCACAAAAAUGCCCAAAUUUUUUGCGGGAAAAAGGCUGCAGGAGAGGUUUUUUUUUUGUUCGCAAUUUCCACCAUCGAAUCUGGACUGGUUUGAAAUUUUCCGCCACUUGAACAAAUAAAUAAAAGGAAAGUAAAAUCAGGCUCGAUUUCCUUCUGUUCUGGUGAAUUGUGCAGGAGGCUCAACUGAUGCCUGACUGAGUUAAUUGCACAGAAGUACCA
RNAcentral lists this ribosomal RNA (2278 nucleotides) under Triticum aestivum (bread wheat). RNAcentral describes it as "partial small subunit ribosomal RNA". Lineage: Eukaryota; Viridiplantae; Streptophyta; Magnoliopsida; Poales; Poaceae. The record is from RNAcentral.